AGAGUUUGAUCAUGGCUCAGGAUGAACGCUAGCGGCAGGCCUAAUACAUGCAAGUCGAACGAGAUUAAGAGGCUUGCUUCUUAUGAAAGUGGCGCACGGGUGCGUAACGCGUAUGCAACCUACCUUAAUCAGGGGGAUAGCCCGAAGAAAUUCGGAUUAAGACCGCAUAAAAACACAGGAUAGCAUUAUCCAAUGUUCAAAUAUUUAUAGGAUUAAGAUGGGCAUGCGUGUCAUUAGCUAGUUGGCGGGGUAACGGCCCACCAAGGCGACGAUGACUAGGGGAUCUGAGAGGAUGACCCCCCACACUGGUACUGAGACACGGACCAGACUCCUACGGGAGGCAGCAGUAAGGAAUAUUGGUCAAUGGAGGGAACUCUGAACCAGCCAUGCCGCGUGCAGGAAGACAGCCCUCUGGGUCGUAAACUGCUUUUAUUCGGGAAUAAACCUUUCUACGUGUAGGAAGCUGAAUGUACCGAAGGAAUAAGGAUCGGCUAACUCCGUGCCAGCAGCCGCGGUAAUACGGAGGAUCCAAGCGUUAUCCGGAUUUAUUGGGUUUAAAGGGUGCGUAGGCGGCUUAUUAAGUCAGGGGUGAAAGACGGUGGCUCAACCAUCGCAGUGCCCUUGAUACUGAUGAGCUUGAAUACACUAGAGGUAGGCGGAAUGUGACAAGUAGCGGUGAAAUGCAUAGAUAUGUCACAGAACACCGAUUGCGAAGGCAGCUUACUAUGGUGUUAUUGACGCUGAGGCACGAAAGCGUGGGGAUCAAACAGGAUUAGAUGCCCUGGUAGUCCACGCCCUAAACGAUGAAUACUCGCUGUUAGCGAUAUACAGUUAGCGGCUAAGCGAAAGCGUUAAGUAUUCCACCUGGGGAGUACGCCCGCAAGGGUGAAACUCAAAGGAAUUGACGGGGGCCCGCACAAGCGGAGGAGCAUGUGGUUUAAUUCGAUGAUACGCGAGGAACCUUACCCGGGCUUGAAAGUUAGUGAAUGAUCUAGAGAUAGAUCAGUGAGCAAUCACACGAAACUAGGUGCUGCAUGGCUGUCGUCAGCUCGUGCCGUGAGGUGUUGGGUUAAGUCCCGCAACGAGCGCAACCCCUAUGUUUAGUUGCCAGCACGUUAAGGUGGGGACUCUAAACAGACUGCCUGUGCAAACAGAGAGGAAGGAGGGGACGACGUCAAGUCAUCAUGGCCCUUACGUCCGGGGCUACACACGUGCUACAAUGGAUGGUACAGAGGGCAGCAAGCUGGCAACAGCAAGCGAAUCUCAAAAAGCCAUUCACAGUUCGGAUAGAGGUCUGCAACUCGACCUCUUGAAGUUGGAUUCGCUAGUAAUCGCGUAUCAGCAAUGACGCGGUGAAUACGUUCCCGGGCCUUGUACACACCGCCCGUCAAGCCAUGGAAGUUGGGGGUACCUAAAGUAUGUAACCGUAAGGAGCGUCCUAGGGUAAAACCGAUAACUGGGGCUAAGUCGUAACAAGGUAGCCGU
This 1485-nucleotide ribosomal RNA is filed under the name uncultured Pedobacter sp. Its description in RNAcentral is "bacterial SSU rRNA". It matches the Rfam family "Bacterial small subunit ribosomal RNA". Lineage: Bacteria; Pseudomonadati; Bacteroidota; Sphingobacteriia; Sphingobacteriales; Sphingobacteriaceae. The record is from RNAcentral.